AAUGAACGCUGGCGGCGUGUCUUAAGCAUGCAAGUCGUGCGGCAAGGGUAGCAAUACCCCUAGAGCGGCGGACUGGUGAGUAACGCGUGGGUGAUCUGCCUCUGGGAUGGGGAUAGCCACUAGAAAUAGUGGGUAAUACCGAAUACGUUCACCGGACUGUGGUUUGGUGAGGAAAGGCGCUUCGGCGCCACCCGGAGAUGAGCCCGCGUCCCAUUAGCUAGUUGGUGAGGUAAAAGCCCACCAAGGCGAUGAUGGGUAGGCGGCCUGAGAGGGUGUACGCCCACACUGGGACUGAGAUACGGCCCAGACUCCUACGGGAGGCAGCAGCUAAGAAUAUUCCGCAAUGGACGAAAGUCUGACGGAGCGACGCCGCGUGGAUGAAGAAGGCCGAAAGGUUGUAAAAUCCUCUCGUUGGGGAAGAAUAAGCGUGGGAGGGAAUGCCCGCGUGAUGACAUGAACCGACGAAUAAGUCCCGGCUAACUACGUGCCAGCAGCCGCGGUAAU
Molecule: ribosomal RNA, 504 nt
Filed under: uncultured bacterium
Lineage: Bacteria
Description: bacterial SSU rRNA
Rfam family: Bacterial small subunit ribosomal RNA
Source: RNAcentral